This 482-nucleotide small RNA is filed under the name Pongo abelii (Sumatran orangutan). RNAcentral's name for it is "processed transcript". The record is from RNAcentral. Lineage: Eukaryota; Metazoa; Chordata; Mammalia; Primates; Hominidae.
AGCGGGCUCCGGUUCAUCACGUGGCAGCCGCCUGCAGGAGCCGCAGGUGAGAAAGUAUAAGAAAAUUGUCCUCGACCUGCUGGUGUAUGGACUGUAUGACCCUGUGAAUUUGGAAGUCAUCCAUGAGAGUAUGAAGACUCUGACCGUUGUUCUGGGCAAGAUCCAGGGGAAAGGUUUGGGUUCCUUCUUCAUAGACAUCACCCUUCAGACCAGGACUUUAUUAGAUGAUGAGAACGACAGUCUGAGAUACUCGGCCUUUGUUUUGUUUGGGCAAUUGGCUGCCUUUGCCGGGAGAAAAUGGAAAAAAUUUUUCACCAGUCAGGUUAAGCAGACACAAGAUUCCCUCCUGAUCCAUUUACAGGACAGAAAUCCCCAGGUUGCCAAGGCUUGCAAAACCACAUUUCGAGCCUGUUCUCCAUAUCUGAAACUAAAGAAGGAAUACAGCUUCCAGAGUGAAGAAGAUCAAAGGAACACUAAGCUCU